AGAAUACUAACCGUUCUUUGUUAUUCUAAUCUGAUUAAUGUCACAGGGGUGAAGAUGGUGAAUUGAGACUUGGAAUCCGAAGAGCACCUCAUGUAAAAAGUGGUGCUACUUUCCCUUCUUUCUGCAGCCAACAGUCGAGUCCCAAUUCUGUCACAGAUGUGGUUGAUGCCAUAGCUAGGAAGCGUGCUUUUAGCAUUUCCUACAAUCCAAGGUGUACUGCUGCUCCCUUCAUUUAGCAUUUUUAUGUACAGAAUAACAGCGUCACUACCUGGAUGUUAGUAUGUGAAUCUGCCAUAUUCUAGAGUAUAUAGUGCGCUCGCAUACAGGCGUCUCCCUAUCUCCAGUCAAUAGAAAUUACUUUGAUUUAUAUGGCGUUGCACUCUUGGAUUAAUGCAUGUUAUGGUGUUCCAUUAAAAAUAUAUAUUAUACAGCAAAAAGUUAAACAUUUUAACGGUUUCAAUGGAUGCUGUCAUCUGGCUGUUUAAUUUUCUUAACUGGACAAUUCCGGAACUAUGCAUACAACUUUAUGAUAUUCUGCUAUUUCAAACUCCAACCAGCUUUAUGAUUGAUCCUUCUCUAUACCUUAUGUCCUUUCUGCUUGGUGUACAUUUCUUUGAUAGACAUAUUCUGCUUGUAACUAUAUUUAACUAAUUUAUUUGUUAUCUUCUUUAGAGACUUGUUUUUUUCAAUUAUUUCCAUUCAAUAUCUUAAUUAUUAUAUUAGUCCAUUGUGUAGGGCCAGCGCCUCAGAGUUCAUAAUUCCUGUCAAUCUGCUGUACGGCCAAGGCGGAUGUACGGUACAGCAGUAUUUCAUACUUUCAUUUUAUCAUGUUAUUUAAUUCAUAACCCUUUAUAAGUAUACUAUGUGGUUGAUAUUAAAUUAUAUGUUCCACAUAAAAAGUAAUGCUAGUUUUAAUGUUAUUUAUACUAUAUAUUUAAUUAUUAUUUUCAGUUUAUUUUUUAUACUAAGCUUGAAGAAAUACAUAGAAAUUGGAGAUUGGGAGUUAAAGAUUACAUCUCCAAUGUUAGCAACAUAAAAUUGUAAAUUUAUCCCUAAUGUAAUCUAAUCGACUAAACUACCUAGCUUGUGGCAAUUUUUGAUUUUUGAUUUGCAUUCAUCCUUUUAAAUUGCAUUAAAAAUUUUACUGCAACACUACUCGGUGAGUUUUUAACUCUUCCUAACAUUAAACUUACCAACUCUUCCAACACUACUUUAUAAGUAAUUUAUGGAACAUGCGUGUCUCUCGUCAAAUUAUGGAUGUAUUAAUUAAUACAGGCCAAAUUACAUAACAUACGUGGCUCACGUCAAGAAAAAUGACAAAUUUUAUGACGAGGUUUCAAAUUAUUUACUAUUGAAAAUCCUCAAUUAAUUUCCUUUUGAAUUAGCUUUCACAUGAUUUGUUGGAGGUGAAGUGAGUGGAGUAGAUAAAGUCCAUUGACCCUGGUGGAGAAAAAUCCACAAAAUAGAAAAUUGUCUCUAUUAAUUUCCUGAAUUUUUUUUGGGAAAAUUUUUUUGUCAAAGAAGCUUAAAUAAGAUAAGCUCUCGCUCAAGAAUUUAUUUUAGCGUAGAUGAAUAUGCUAAUGCCGACAGUUGGAGAAGAAGAAAAAUAAAAAUCGAGAAGAACAAGUGCUAAAUGAAAUUAAUAAUUUUUAGGAGGUUGGUUUUUAGGAAAUGAGUUUACACCAUUUGAAAGAGCUUAUGGAUUAAACCUUUGUGAUUAUGGUUAAAAAAAACUGUGAAUUUAACAAACUUUCUAGUCAAGCAUUGGCUAUUGAUUCUAAAAUGGGAAACUUGGUUGUUAAGACUGCAAGCCAAUUUUUGAAUAAGUGCAUUCGUUUGUGGGGGUUGUGCCGGAUCAUUUGCCAGGAAUCCCAGGAUGAUAUUCGAGGAAUUUCCUUACAUGAAAUGCACGGUAUUUGACCUCCCACAUGUUGUUGCUAACGUGCCAGAAAAUAACAAUUUAAAUUUUGUUGGAGGUGAUAUGUUUCCCUCUAGACGACACCUAUCUAUUUGAGGUAUACUCUGCCUUCUUACUCAAAGAAUACUAUUUAUCUUAAUAUAUGUGGAUUACUUUUUAUGUUUAUGCAUUAAAGAUAUUAUGUUAGGUAUUAAAGACCUUACACUGUUAAGAAUACUAACCGUUCUUUGUUAUUCUAAUCUGAUUAAUGUCACAGGGGUGAAGAUGGUGAAUUGAGACUUGGAAUCCGAAGAGCACCUCAUGUAAAAAGUGGUGCUACUUUCCCUUCUUUCUGCAGCCAACAGUCGAGUCCCAAUUCUGUCACAGAUGUGGUUGAUGCCAUAGCUAGGAAGCGUGCUUUUAGCAUUUCCUACAAUCCAAGGUGUACUGCUGCUCCCUUCAUUUAGCAUUUUUAUGUACAGAAUAACAGCGUCACUACCUGGAUGUUAGUAUGUGAAUCUGCCAUAUUCUAGAGUAUAUAGUGCGCUCGCAUACAGGCGUCUCCCUAUCUCCAGUCAAUAGAAAUUACUUUGAUUUAUAUGGCGUUGCACUCUUGGAUUAAUGCAUGUUAUGGUGUUCCAUUAAAAAUAUAUAUUAUACAGCAAAAAGUUAAACAUUUUAACGGUUUCAAUGGAUGCUGUCAUCUGGCUGUUUAAUUUUCUUAACUGGACAAUUCCGGAACUAUGCAUACAACUUUAUGAUAUUCUGCUAUUUCAAACUCCAACCAGCUUUAUGAUUGAUCCUUCUCUAUACCUUAUGUCCUUUCUGCUUGGUGUACAUUUCUUUGAUAGACAUAUUCUGCUUGUAACUAUAUUUAACUAAUUUAUUUGUUAUCUUCUUUAGAGACUUGUUUUUUUCAAUUAUUUCCAUUCAAUAUCUUAAUUAUUA
RNAcentral lists this long non-coding RNA (2845 nucleotides) under Citrus sinensis (sweet orange). RNAcentral's name for it is "long non-coding RNA (CSIN_LNC000541)". The record is from RNAcentral. Lineage: Eukaryota; Viridiplantae; Streptophyta; Magnoliopsida; Sapindales; Rutaceae.